RNAcentral lists this ribosomal RNA (474 nucleotides) under Onthophagus sp. 1 CWC-2007. Its description in RNAcentral is "partial 16S ribosomal RNA". It matches the Rfam family "Bacterial large subunit ribosomal RNA", at positions 1851 to 2573 of the family's 2925-position model. Lineage: Eukaryota; Metazoa; Arthropoda; Insecta; Coleoptera; Scarabaeidae. The record is from RNAcentral.
AGUCUGACCUGCCCAAUGAUAUGUAAAUAUUAAAUGGCCGCGAUAAUUUGAUCGUGCAAAGGUAGCAUAAUAAUUAGUUUCUUAAUUGGGAACUGGAAUGAAAGGUCGAACGAGAAAAUGACUGUCUCAAUUUAAUUUAAAUUAGAAUUUUAUUUUUAAGUUAAAAAGCUUAAAUGAUUUUAAAAGACGAGAAGACCCUAUAGAGUUUUAUAUAUAUUUAUUUAUUUUUUAGUUUAAGAAUUUAAUUUUAAAAUUGAUAAUAAAAUAUUUAAUUGGGGUGAUUGAAAAAUUAAAUAAACUUUUUUUAUAAUUUAACAUUAAUUUAUGAUUAGUUGAUCCAUAUAUAAUGAUUAAAAGAUUAAAUUACCUUAGGGAUAACAGCGUAAUUUUUUUUGAGAGUUCAUAUCGAAAAAAUAGAUUGCGACCUCGAUGUUGGAUUAAAAUUAAUUUAUGGUGUAGAAGCUAUAUAUAUUA